RNAcentral lists this ribosomal RNA (673 nucleotides) under uncultured organism. RNAcentral's name for it is "bacterial SSU rRNA". It matches the Rfam family "Bacterial small subunit ribosomal RNA", at positions 770 to 1441 of the family's 1533-position model. The record is from RNAcentral.
GAACGGGAUUAGAUACCCCGGUAGUCCACGCCGUAAACUUUGUGCACUAGGUGUGGGAGGCGUCGACCCCUUCCGUGCCGAAACUAACGCAUUAAGUGCACCGCCUGGGGAGUACGGCCGCAAGGCUGAAACUCAAAGGAAUUGACGGGGGCCCGCACAAGCGGUGGAGCAUGUUCUUUAAUUCGAUGCAACGCGAAGAACCUUACCCAGGCUUGACAUCCCGCGCUACCCUUGGAAACAAGGGGUUCCCUUCGGGGACGCGGUGACAGGUGUUGCAUGGCUGUCGUCAGCUCGUGUCGUGAGAUGUUGGGUUAAGUCCCGCAACGAGCGCAACCCUUAUCCCUAGUUACCAGCGGUUCGGCCGGGCACUCUAGGGAGACUGCCGGUGAUGAACCGGAGGAAGGUGGGGAUGACGUCAAGCCAGCAUGGCCCUUAUGUCUGGGGCUAGAAACGUGCUACAAUGGCCGGUACAAAGGGCUGCGAGAUCGCGAGAUCGAGCCAAUCCCAAAAAACCGGUCUCAGUUCGGAUUGUAGUCUGCAACUCGACUGCAUGAAGCUGGAAUCGCUAGUAAUCGCGUAUCAGCCACGACGCGGCGAAUACGUUCCCGGGCCUCGUACACACCGCCCGUCACGUGACCUGAGUCGGGUGGAGCUGACGUCGCUGACCCAACCC